AAAGCGUGCGCAGGCGGUUUUGUAAGUCAGAUGUGAAAUCCCCGAGCUUAACUUGGGAACUGCGUUUGAAACUACAAGACUAGAGUGUGUCAGAGGGGGGUAGAAUUCCACGUGUAGCAGUGAAAUGCGUAGAGAUGUGGAGGAAUAUCAAUGGCGAAGGCAGCCCCCUGGGAUAACACUGACGCUCAUGCACGAAAGCGUGGGGAGCAAACAGGAUUAGAUACCCCGGU
Molecule: ribosomal RNA, 230 nt
Filed under: uncultured bacterium
Lineage: Bacteria
Description: partial 16S ribosomal RNA
Rfam family: Bacterial small subunit ribosomal RNA
Source: RNAcentral